UCUAUCCGUCGUCAUCACUUGACUGCAGGACAUAAUUCAAGUCGAAGAGUGUAGAUGACUACCAAAGAGCAUGUUUCAGCACUGUGAUCAUCACCUUGACUCGCAACCUCUUGCAGACAAUACUGUUUUCUUCAAGAUUUACUGAUCAUGGUUUCCGGUUCCCAUCACAUACAUCGUUCCUUGAGGCAAUGUUGCCUGUCGAUUCAUUCGCUGUCUGAGGAGGAAGAGGAGGCACUGUCGUCUGAUGUUCCGGAUUCCUCUCCUGACUCGCUGUCGCUGUCUCCAUCAUCGAUGACUUGUUGUCUUCCUGUUUGGACAUCAGGCUGUUGUACGUGUCCCUCGACAGGAG
This is a long non-coding RNA of Haliotis rubra (blacklip abalone), 349 nucleotides long. RefSeq lists it as uncharacterized. NCBI's taxonomy places the organism in Eukaryota, Metazoa, Mollusca, Gastropoda, Lepetellida, Haliotidae. The transcript is spliced from 3 exons. The record is from RefSeq and is a predicted model, not a curated record.